Carassius auratus (goldfish) is the source of this 196-nucleotide long non-coding RNA. RefSeq lists it as uncharacterized. NCBI's taxonomy places the organism in Eukaryota, Metazoa, Chordata, Actinopteri, Cypriniformes, Cyprinidae. The transcript is spliced from 3 exons. The record is from RefSeq and is a predicted model, not a curated record.
UGGCAACUAAUGAGGUUAACAAUAAAGACAAACAAGGCACACAACAGACAAGGACAGAAAACACACAGGAAACAUGUAACAAGUAUCAGGCCCUGUCCACAGGAACAUGGAGAGAGUUCAGGAGGAGUAUGAUGAUGUGAUGAGUGUCAGUGAAGAUGUGAGAAACCUGAUGGAUUAUGAUGAUGUGGAGGAGGAG